UGCUGGGAUGACAGGCAUGAGCCACUGCGC
This 30-nucleotide non-coding RNA is filed under the name Homo sapiens (human). The record is from RNAcentral. Lineage: Eukaryota; Metazoa; Chordata; Mammalia; Primates; Hominidae.